CCUACGGGAUGCAGCAGUGGGGAAUUUUGGACAAUGGGCGAAAGCCUGGUCCAGCCUUGCCGCGUGCAGGAUGAAGGCCUUCGGGUUGUAAACUGCUUUUGUACGGAACGAACAGACUCCUUCUAAUAAAGGGGGUUCAUGACGGUACCGUAAGGAUAAGCACAGGCUAACUACGUGCCAGCAGCCGCGGUAAUACGUAGGGUGCAAGCGUUAAUCGGAAUUGCUGGGCGUAAAGCGUGCGCAGGCGGUUAUAUAAGACAGAUGUGAAAUCCCCGGGCUCAACCUGGGAACUGCAUUUGUGACUGUAUAGCUAGAGUACGGCAGAGGGGGAUGGAAUUCCGCGUGUAGCAGUGAAAUGCGUAGAUAUGCGGAGGAACACCGAUGGCGAAGGCGAUCCCCUGGGCCUGUACUGACGCUCAUGCACGAAAGCGUGGGGAGCAAACAGGAUUAGAUACCCUCGUAGUC
Molecule: ribosomal RNA, 465 nt
Filed under: uncultured bacterium
Lineage: Bacteria
Description: bacterial SSU rRNA
Rfam family: Bacterial small subunit ribosomal RNA
Source: RNAcentral